RNAcentral lists this ribosomal RNA (794 nucleotides) under marine metagenome. RNAcentral describes it as "bacterial SSU rRNA". It matches the Rfam family "Bacterial small subunit ribosomal RNA", at positions 715 to 1520 of the family's 1533-position model. The record is from RNAcentral.
GCGAAGGCAGCUUUCUGGAUCAUUACUGACACUGAGGAACGAAAGCAUGGGUAGCGAAGAGGAUUAGAUACCCUCGUAGUCCAUGCCGUAAACGAUGUGUGUUAGACGUUGGAAAUUUAUUUUCAGUGUCGCAGCGAAAGCGAUAAACACACCGCCUGGGGAGUACGACCGCAAGGUUAAAACUCAAAUGAAUUGACGGGGACCCGCACAAGUAGUGGAGCAUGUGGUUUAAUUCGAAGAUACGCGCAGAACCUUACCAACACUUGACAUGUUCGUCGCGACUUUAAGAGAUUAAAGUUUUCGGUUCGGCCGGACGAAACACAGGUGCUGCAUGGCUGUCGUCAGCUCGUGUCGUGAGAUGUUGGGUUAAGUCCCGCAACGAGCGCAACCCUCACUUUUAGUUGCCAUCAUUAAGUUGGGCACUCUGAAAGAACUGCCAGUGAUAAGCUGGAGGAAGGUGGGGAUGACGUCAAGUCCUCAUGGCCCUUACGUGUUGGGCUACACACGUGCUACAAUGGUAUCUACAACAGGAAGCAAGACGGCGACGUUAAGCAAAUCCUCAAAAGAUACCUCAGUUCGGAUUGCACUCUGCAACUCGAGUGCAUGAAGCUGGAAUUACUAGUAAUCGUGGAUCAGCGUGCCACGGUGAAUGCGUUCCCGGGUCUUGUACACACCGCCCGUCACACCAUGGGAGUUGGUUCUACCUUAAGGCAAGGUUUCAAACCCUUGACCACGGUAUAGUCAGCGACUGGGGUGAAGUCGUAACAAGGUAGCCGUAGGGGAACCUGCGGCUG